RNAcentral lists this ribosomal RNA (1564 nucleotides) under Escherichia coli. RNAcentral's name for it is "partial 23S ribosomal RNA". It matches the Rfam family "Bacterial large subunit ribosomal RNA", at positions 609 to 2157 of the family's 2925-position model. The record is from RNAcentral. Lineage: Bacteria; Pseudomonadati; Pseudomonadota; Gammaproteobacteria; Enterobacterales; Enterobacteriaceae.
UGUAUAAUGGGUCAGCGACUUAUAUUCUGUAGCAAGGUUAACCGAAUAGGGGAGCCGAAGGGAAACCGAGUCUUAACUGGGCGUUAAGUUGCAGGGUAUAGACCCGAAACCCGGUGAUCUAGCCAUGGGCAGGUUGAAGGUUGGGUAACACUAACUGGAGGACCGAACCGACUAAUGUUGAAAAAUUAGCGGAUGACUUGUGGCUGGGGGUGAAAGGCCAAUCAAACCGGGAGAUAGCUGGUUCUCCCCGAAAGCUAUUUAGGUAGCGCCUCGUGAAUUCAUCUCCGGGGGUAGAGCACUGUUUCGGCAAGGGGGUCAUCCCGACUUACCAACCCGAUGCAAACUGCGAAUACCGGAGAAUGUUAUCACGGGAGACACACGGCGGGUGCUAACGUCCGUCGUGAAGAGGGAAACAACCCAGACCGCCAGCUAAGGUCCCAAAGUCAUGGUUAAGUGGGAAACGAUGUGGGAAGGCCCAGACAGCCAGGAUGUUGGCUUAGAAGCAGCCAUCAUUUAAAGAAAGCGUAAUAGCUCACUGGUCGAGUCGGCCUGCGCGGAAGAUGUAACGGGGCUAAACCAUGCACCGAAGCUGCGGCAGCGACACUAUGUGUUGUUGGGUAGGGGAGCGUUCUGUAAGCCUGUGAAGGUGUACUGUGAGGUAUGCUGGAGGUAUCAGAAGUGCGAAUGCUGACAUAAGUAACGAUAAAGCGGGUGAAAAGCCCGCUCGCCGGAAGACCAAGGGUUCCUGUCCAACGUUAAUCGGGGCAGGGUGAGUCGACCCCUAAGGCGAGGCCGAAAGGCGUAGUCGAUGGGAAACAGGUUAAUAUUCCUGUACUUGGUGUUACUGCGAAGGGGGGACGGAGAAGGCUAUGUUGGCCGGGCGACGGUUGUCCCGGUUUAAGCGUGUAGGCUGGUUUUCCAGGCAAAUCCGGAAAAUCAAGGCUGAGGCGUGAUGACGAGGCACUACGGUGCUGAAGCAACAAAUGCCCUGCUUCCAGGAAAAGCCUCUAAGCAUCAGGUAACAUCAAAUCGUACCCCAAACCGACACAGGUGGUCAGGUAGAGAAUACCAAGGCGCUUGAGAGAACUCGGGUGAAGGAACUAGGCAAAAUGGUGCCGUAACUUCGGGAGAAGGCACGCUGAUAUGUAGGUGAAGUCCCUCGCGGAUGGAGCUGAAAUCAGUCGAAGAUACCAGCUGGCUGCAACUGUUUAUUAAAAACACAGCACUGUGCAAACACGAAAGUGGACGUAUACGGUGUGACGCCUGCCCGGUGCCGGAAGGUUAAUUGAUGGGGUUAGCCGCAAGGCGAAGCUCUUGAUCGAAGCCCCGGUAAACGGCGGCCGUAACUAUAACGGUCCUAAGGUAGCGAAAUUCCUUGUCGGGUAAGUUCCGACCUGCACGAAUGGCGUAAUGAUGGCCAGGCUGUCUCCACCCGAGACUCAGUGAAAUUGAACUCGCUGUGAAGAUGCAGUGUACCCGCGGCAAGACGGAAAGACCCCGUGAACCUUUACUAUAGCUUGACACUGAACAUUGAGCCUUGAUGUGUAGGAUAGGUGGGAGGCUU